UAGUCCAUGCCGUAAACGAUGAUUACUCGAUGUUAGGUAACUAGUGUCUAAGCGAAAGUUUUAAGUAAUCCACCUGGGGAGUACGAUCGCAAGAUUGAAACUCAAAGGAAUUGACGGGGGCCCGCACAAGCGGUGGAGCAUGUGGUUUAAUUCGAUGAUACGCGAGGAACCUUACCUAGGCUUAAAUGUUAUUUGACAGAUUGCGAAAGCAGUUUUUCCUUGUGACAAAUUUCAAGGUGCUGCAUGGCUGUCGUCAGCUCGUGCUGUGAGGUGUCGGGUUAAGUCCCAUAACGAGCGCAACCCCUAUUUUAGUUGCCAGCGAGUAAUGUCGGGGACUUUAAAGAAACUGCCCGUGUAAACGGUGAGGAAGGUGGGGACGACGUCAAAGUCAUCACGGCCCUUACGUCUAGGGCUACACACGUGCUACAAUGGCAAUUACAGAGUGUUGCUUCUUGGUAACAAGUCGCUAAUCACUAAAAAUUGUCUCAGUUCGGAUUGAAGUCUGCAACUCGACUUCA
RNAcentral lists this ribosomal RNA (518 nucleotides) under uncultured bacterium. RNAcentral describes it as "bacterial SSU rRNA". It matches the Rfam family "Bacterial small subunit ribosomal RNA", at positions 791 to 1320 of the family's 1533-position model. The record is from RNAcentral.